GCAAGGCGGAUAGAGUGAGCGAUGAAUUUCGUUCAAGUUAUGUAGUAUUGAUCAAUACAGGGUACAACGGGGCUGAUCACCCUCCGUGCCCGUAAGUUAUGACGGUUUGAGGAUAGAAUUCCGCUAAACCUUUUCGAAAAUGAAAAGAAUGUUCAUAGUAUGUUUCUUAAACCCUAUUCAUGGGUAGAGCCAGAGCCAAAUUUAAAGAAUUUGAAAGAGAGUUGUUAUGUGAAUUUUUUUAUCAGUACAGAUUACUUCACAACUUUCAAUUCGUUGUAGAAGUG
Molecule: long non-coding RNA, 284 nt
Filed under: Panax ginseng (ginseng)
Lineage: Eukaryota; Viridiplantae; Streptophyta; Magnoliopsida; Apiales; Araliaceae
Description: long non-coding RNA (PGIN_LNC005405)
Source: RNAcentral